RNAcentral lists this ribosomal RNA (917 nucleotides) under uncultured bacterium. Its description in RNAcentral is "bacterial SSU rRNA". It matches the Rfam family "Bacterial small subunit ribosomal RNA", at positions 57 to 974 of the family's 1533-position model. The record is from RNAcentral.
GCAGUCGAACGGGAUUGGAAAUAGCAAUAUUACCAUGAGAGUGGCGCACGGGUGCGUAACACGUAUGCAAUCUGCCCCUAACUGGAAGAUAGCCCGGCGAAAGUCGGAUUAAUAUUCCAUAACAUUGCGAAACGGCAUCGUUUUGUAAUUAAAGCUCCGGCGGUUAGGGAUGAGCAUGCGCGACAUUAGCUAGAUGGCGAGGUAACGGCUCACCAUGGCUACGAUGUCUAGGGGGUCUGAGAGGAUUAUCCCCCACACUGGUACUGAGACACGGACCAGACUCCUACGGGAGGCAGCAGUAGGGAAUAUUGGGCAAUGGACGCAAGUCUGACCCAGCCAUGCCGCGUGCAGGAUGACGGCCCUAUGGGUUGUAAACUGCUUUUGUACAGGAAGUAACCCCUUUACGUGUAGAGGGCUGACAUUACUGUAAGAAUAAGGAUCGGCUAACUCCGUGCCAGCAGCCGCGGUAAUACGGAGGAUCCAAGCGUUGUCCGGAUUUAUUGGGUUUAAAGGGUGCGUAGGCGGACCAUUAAGUCAGAGGUGAAAGUUUGCGGCUUAACUGUAAAAUUGCCUUUGAAACUGGUGGUCUUGAGUACAGUUGAGGUGGGCGGAAUGUGUCAUGUAGCGGUGAAAUGCUUAGAUAUGAUACAGAACACCGAUAGCGAAGGCGGCUCACUAAACUGUAACUGACGCUGAGGCACGAAAGCGUGGGGAGCGAACAGGAUUAGAUACCCUGGUAGUCCACGCCCUAAACGUUGAAUACUCGUUGUUGGCGAUAUACAGUCAGCGACUAAGCGAAAGCAUUAAGUAUUCCACCUGGGGAGUACGACCGCAAGGGUUGAACUCAAAGGAAUUGACGGGGGCCCGCACAAGCGGAGGAGUAUGUGGUUUAAUUCGAUGAUACGCGAGGACCUUAC